GCUGUAGCUCAGUGGUACGGUAUCUGCUUUUCAUGCAGAAGGUCUCAGGUUCAAUCCCUGACAUCUCCA
Non-coding RNA from Podarcis lilfordi (Lilford's wall lizard), 69 nucleotides. The record is from the annotation of a GenBank genome assembly. NCBI's taxonomy places the organism in Eukaryota, Metazoa, Chordata, Lepidosauria, Squamata, Lacertidae.